UCCCUCUUAGUUCAGUUGGUAGAACGGCGGACUGUUAAUCCGUAUGUCACUGGUUCAAGUCCAGUAGAGGGAGCCA
This 76-nucleotide transfer RNA is filed under the name Photobacterium phosphoreum. Its description in RNAcentral is "tRNA-Asn". It matches the Rfam family "tRNA". Rfam says of the family: Transfer RNA (tRNA) molecules are approximately 80 nucleotides in length. Their secondary structure includes four short double-helical elements and three loops (D, anti-codon, and T loops). Lineage: Bacteria; Pseudomonadati; Pseudomonadota; Gammaproteobacteria; Vibrionales; Vibrionaceae. The record is from RNAcentral. RNAcentral also lists the same sequence under 2 other names.